AUACGUAGGUGGCAAGCGUUAUCCGGAUUUACUGGGUGUAAAGGGCGUGUAGGCGGGACAGCAAGUCAGAUGUGAAAAUUAUGGGCUCAACCCAUAACCUGCAUUUGAAACUGUUGUUCUUGAGUCCCCCGAUGGAGAGGCAGGCGGAAUUCCGUGUGUAGCGGUGAAAUGCGUAGAUAUACGGAGGAACACCAGUGGCGAAGGCGGCCUGCUGGACAUUAACUGACGCUGAGGCGCGAAAGCGUGGGGAGC
This 252-nucleotide ribosomal RNA is filed under the name uncultured bacterium. RNAcentral describes it as "partial 16S ribosomal RNA". It matches the Rfam family "Bacterial small subunit ribosomal RNA", at positions 523 to 769 of the family's 1533-position model. The record is from RNAcentral.